CAGCCGCCGCGGUAAUACGUAGGGUGCGAGCGUUAAUCGGAAUUACUGGGCGUAAAGCGUGCGCAGGCGGUUUUGUAAGACAGGCGUGAAAUCCCCGGGCUCAACCUGGGAACUGCGCUUGUGACUGCAAGGCUAGAGUAUGGCAGAGGGGGGUGGAAUUCCACGUGUAGCAGUGAAAUGCGUAGAGAUGUAGAGGAACACCAAUGGCGAAGGCAGCCCCCUGGGCCAAUACUGACGCUCAUGCACGAAAGCGUGGGUAGCAAACGGGAUUAGAUACCCUGGUAGUCCACGCCCUAAACGAUGCUCACUAGGUGUUGGGGAAUCGAUUCCUUGGUACCGUAGCUAACGCGUGAAGUGAGCCGCCUGGGGAGUACGGCCGCAAGGUUAAAACUCAAAGGAAUUGACGG
Molecule: ribosomal RNA, 407 nt
Filed under: uncultured bacterium
Lineage: Bacteria
Description: bacterial SSU rRNA
Rfam family: Bacterial small subunit ribosomal RNA
Source: RNAcentral